Molecule: ribosomal RNA, 120 nt
Filed under: Kalymmatonema hyalinum
Lineage: Bacteria; Bacillati; Cyanobacteriota; Cyanophyceae; Nostocales; Scytonemataceae
Source: RNAcentral
UUCUGGUGCCAAUGGCGCGGUGGAACCACUCUGACCCCAUCUCGAACUCAGUUGUGAAACGCUGCUGCGGCGACGAUAGUUGGCGGGUAGCUGCCUGUAACAAUAGCGGGCGUGCCAGGA